CAGACAAUAGUUUAAAUUAAAAAUAUUAAUUUUGGAGAUUAAAGAUAUACGGAAAUUAUUUAUCUGA
Molecule: transfer RNA, 67 nt
Filed under: Rhynchothorax sp. JZ-2022
Lineage: Eukaryota; Metazoa; Arthropoda; Pycnogonida; Pantopoda; Tanystylidae
Description: tRNA-Pro
Source: RNAcentral